This 300-nucleotide ribosomal RNA is filed under the name uncultured Bacillus sp. Its description in RNAcentral is "bacterial SSU rRNA". It matches the Rfam family "Bacterial small subunit ribosomal RNA", at positions 496 to 795 of the family's 1533-position model. Lineage: Bacteria; Bacillati; Bacillota; Bacilli; Caryophanales; Bacillaceae. The record is from RNAcentral.
GGGUACUCUGUGCCAGCAGCCUCGGUAAUACAGGUGGCCCGAGCGUUGUUCUGAUUCACUGGGCGUAAAGGGUGCGCAGGUGGGUUUGCAAGUUUGAUGUGAAGGCCCCGGGCUUAACCCGGUAAUGGCAUUGAAUACUGCUGAUCUUGAGGAUCGGAGGGGGGACUGGAAUUCUUGGUGUAGCAGUGAAAUGCGUAGAUAUCAAGAGGAACACCAGUGGCGAAGGCGAGUCCCUGGACGAUACCUGACACUGAGGCACGAAAGCCGGGGGAGCAAACAGGAUUAGAUACCCCAGUAGUC